UUGCUUCAGCAGCACAUAUACUAAAGUUGAAAUGAUACAGAGACGAUUGGCAAGGUCCCUGUGCCAGGAUGGCAUGCAAAAAAGUGAAGUGUUCCAUAUUAAA
This is a small nuclear RNA of Perognathus longimembris pacificus (Pacific pocket mouse), 103 nucleotides long. NCBI's taxonomy places the organism in Eukaryota, Metazoa, Chordata, Mammalia, Rodentia, Heteromyidae. The record is from RefSeq and is a predicted model, not a curated record.